UGGGGAAUAUUGGACAAUGGGGGAAACCCUGAUCCAGCAAUACCGCGUGUGUGAAGAAGGCCUGCGGGUUGUAAAGCACUUUCAGUGGGGAGGAGAGGCUUAUUGUUAAUAGCGAUGAGCUGAGACGUUACCCACAGAAGAAGCACCGGCUAACUCUGUGCCAGCAGCCGCGGUAAUACAGAGGGUGCGAGCGUUAAUCGGAAUUAUUGGGCGUAAAGGGUGCGUAGGUGGUUAAAUAAGUCAGAUGUGAAAUCCCUGGGCUCGACCUAGGCAUUGCGUUUGAUACUGUUUGGCUAGAGUACAGUAGAGGAAAGUGGAAUUUCCGGUGUAGCGGUGAAAUGCGUAGAUAUCGGAAGGAACAUCAGUGGCGAAGGCGACUUUCUGGACUGUAACUGACACU
This 400-nucleotide ribosomal RNA is filed under the name uncultured bacterium. RNAcentral's name for it is "bacterial SSU rRNA". It matches the Rfam family "Bacterial small subunit ribosomal RNA", at positions 355 to 747 of the family's 1533-position model. The record is from RNAcentral.